AGUCACUGACAUUAGAUACCCCGGUAGUCCAGGGUGUAAACGCUGUAGACUUGGUGUUGGGAACCCUUCGGGGGUGCUCAGUGCCGGAGAGAAGUUGUUAAGUCUGCUACUUGGGGAGUACGUCCGCAAGGAUGAAACUUAAAGGAAUUGGCGGGGGAGCACCGCAACGGGAGGAGCGUGCGGUUUAAUUGGAUUCAACGCCGAAAAACUCACCAGCAGCGACUGUUACAUGAAAGUCAGGUUGAUGACCUUACUAGAUUUUCAG
Molecule: ribosomal RNA, 265 nt
Filed under: uncultured archaeon
Lineage: Archaea
Description: partial 16S ribosomal RNA
Rfam family: Archaeal small subunit ribosomal RNA
Source: RNAcentral